RNAcentral lists this long non-coding RNA (285 nucleotides) under Homo sapiens (human). RNAcentral's name for it is "HSALNT0185772". Lineage: Eukaryota; Metazoa; Chordata; Mammalia; Primates; Hominidae. The record is from RNAcentral.
AGCAACCUCUCAAUAUUCCUGUUACUCAAUUACCUGCCUAGGCACAAUUAUUAGGUGACUGCCAAAGUAAUUUAAUCUUCUUCAUUGUUUAGCUUUGAAACCUUCCCAAGUUUUUAUGCAAGAUGUAACUAUAUGGUAAAGAUGAUGAAUUACUAAACACUUGAACCUGAACUUACACAUCAGAGCACAUUUGUGAGAUGCGGACAGUGAGCCCAAGGGAAACAAUAAAGACCUGUCUCCCUACCUCCAAUCACUUAGAAAAGAAACCCGCUAGCCAGUGAUUUU